AUUGAACGCUGGCGGCAUGCCUUACACAUGCAAGUCGAACGGCAGCACGGGAGCAAUCCUGGUGGCGAGUGGCGAACGGGUGAGUAAAGUAUCGGAACGUGCCCAGUCGUGGGGGAUAACGUAGCGAAAGUUACGCUAAUACCGCAUACGAUCUAUGAAUGAAAGCGGGGGAUCGCAAGACCUCGCGCGAUUGGAGGGGCCGAUAUCAGAUUAGGCAGGUGGGGGGGUAAAGGCUCACCAAGCCGACGAUCUGGAGCUGGUCUGAGAGGACGACCAGCCACACUGGGACUGAGACACGGCCCAGACUCCUACGGGAGGCAGCAGUGGGGAAUUUUGGACAAUGGGCGAAAGCCUGAUCCAGCCAUGCCGCGUGCAGGAUGAAGGCCUUCGGGUUGUAAACUGCUUUUGUACGGAACGAAAAGGUUUGGCCUAAUAAGCUGAGCUCAUGACGGUACCGUAAGAAUAAGCACCGGCUAACUACGUGCCAGCCGCCGCCGUAA
Molecule: ribosomal RNA, 500 nt
Filed under: uncultured bacterium
Lineage: Bacteria
Description: partial 16S ribosomal RNA
Rfam family: Bacterial small subunit ribosomal RNA
Source: RNAcentral